Molecule: ribosomal RNA, 301 nt
Filed under: uncultured bacterium
Lineage: Bacteria
Description: partial 16S ribosomal RNA
Rfam family: Bacterial small subunit ribosomal RNA
Source: RNAcentral
CAGUAGCCACGGUAAUACGAAGGGGGCUAGCGUUGUUCGGAAUUACUGGGCGUAAAGCGCACGUAGGCGGAUAUUUAAGUCAGGGGUGAAAUCCCAGAGCUCAACUCUGGAACUGCCUUUGAUACUGGGUAUCUUGAGUAUGGAAGAGGUGAGUGGAAUUCCGAGUGUAGAGGUGAAAUUCGUAGAUAUUCGGAGGAACACCAGUGGCGAAGGCGGCUCACUGGUCCAUUACUGACGCUGAGGUGCGAAAGCGUGGGGAGCAAACAGGAUUAGAUACCCGGUAGUCCCUGUCUCUUAUACA